UACGAAGGGGGCUAGCGUUGCUCGGAAUCACUGGGCGUAAAGCGCACGUAGGCGGCUUUCUAAGUCAGGGGUGAAAUCCUGGAGCUCAACUCCAGAACUGCCUUUGAUAGUGGAAGGCUUGAGUCCGGGAGAGGUGAGUGGAACUGCGAGUGUAGAGGUGAAAUUCGUAGAUAUUCGCAAGAACACCAGUGGCGAAGGCGGCUCACUGGCCCGGUACUGACGCUGAGGUGCGAAAGCGUGGGGAGCAAACAGG
Molecule: ribosomal RNA, 253 nt
Filed under: uncultured bacterium
Lineage: Bacteria
Description: partial 16S ribosomal RNA
Rfam family: Bacterial small subunit ribosomal RNA
Source: RNAcentral